CCUACGGGAUGCAGCAGUGAGGAAUAUUGGUCAAUGGGCUUACGCCUGAACCAGCCAAGUCGCGUGAGGGAAGACUGCCCUAUGGGUUGUAAACCUCUUUUGUCAGGGAGCAACGCCGGCUACGUGUAGCCUGACUGAGAGUACCUGCAGACAAAGCCUCGGCUAACUCCGUGCCAGCAGCCGCGGUAAUACGGAGGAUGCGAGCGUUCUCCGGAUUUAUUGGGUUUAAAGGGUGCGUAGGAGGAAUGCCAAGUCAGCGGUAAAAUCGCGGGGCUCAACCUCGCUCCGCCGUUGAAACUGGCGGUCUGGAGUGGGCGAGAAGUAGGCGGAAUGCGUGGUGUAGCGGUGAAAUGCAUAGAUAUCACGCAGAACUCCGAUUGCGAAGGCAGCAUACCGGCGCCCAACUGACGCUGAAGCACGAAAGCGUGGGUAUCGAACAGGAUUAGAUACCCCAGUAGUC
RNAcentral lists this ribosomal RNA (460 nucleotides) under uncultured bacterium. RNAcentral describes it as "partial 16S ribosomal RNA". It matches the Rfam family "Bacterial small subunit ribosomal RNA", at positions 338 to 795 of the family's 1533-position model. The record is from RNAcentral.